UGGGUUGUGGCUCAGUGGCAGAGCGCUCACCUAGCACAUGUGAGGCACUGGGUUCUAUCCUCAGCACCACAU
RNAcentral lists this transfer RNA (72 nucleotides) under Marmota monax (woodchuck). It matches the Rfam family "tRNA". From Rfam's summary of the family: Transfer RNA (tRNA) molecules are approximately 80 nucleotides in length. Their secondary structure includes four short double-helical elements and three loops (D, anti-codon, and T loops). The record is from Rfam by way of RNAcentral. RNAcentral also lists the same sequence under 1 other name. Lineage: Eukaryota; Metazoa; Chordata; Mammalia; Rodentia; Sciuridae.